Molecule: long non-coding RNA, 335 nt
Filed under: Gallus gallus (chicken)
Lineage: Eukaryota; Metazoa; Chordata; Aves; Galliformes; Phasianidae
Description: lncRNA (ENSGALG00010000095.1)
Source: RNAcentral
CUUUCCUGAACUUCUCUUUCCCUGACAGCUUGUCAAGGAAGUCGUAAUAGAAUUUCAUGUGGAAGGUCAGUCCAUCAAUGUGGAGCACUCCAAUGUCCUUGAAGACAACGGCAACGUUCUCCCCAUUCUUCAGGCAGCCAGAGAGCAGGGACACGGUGCUUUGGAUGCAAGCCUGCGCUGUCUGCCAGUGCUUCCCUGGAACUGCUUCUUGUGGCCAUCAGCCAGAACGGCCCCAUGUUUGGCUGGGCUCCUCCGAGGGGGAGGUUUGCUUUGGAGAAUGGAGGCGGUGGCCCUGUUGGCCCUGUGCGUGAAGCCAGCAAAGCUUUAAUCCUCCC